This 450-nucleotide ribosomal RNA is filed under the name Salmonella enterica subsp. enterica serovar Kentucky. Its description in RNAcentral is "bacterial SSU rRNA". It matches the Rfam family "Bacterial small subunit ribosomal RNA", at positions 21 to 467 of the family's 1533-position model. Lineage: Bacteria; Pseudomonadati; Pseudomonadota; Gammaproteobacteria; Enterobacterales; Enterobacteriaceae. The record is from RNAcentral.
GGCUCAGAUUGAACGCUGGCGGCAGGCCUAACACAUGCAAGUCGAACGGUAACAGGAAGCAGCUUGCUGCUUYGCUGACGAGUGGCGGACGGGUGAGUAAUGUCUGGGAAACUGCCUGAUGGAGGGGGAUAACUACUGGAAACGGUGGCUAAUACCGCAUAACGUCGCAAGACCAAAGAGGGGGACCUUCGGGCCUCUUGCCAUCAGAUGUGCCCAGAUGGGAUUAGCUKGUUGGUGAGGUAACGGCUCACCAAGGCGACGAUCCCUAGCUGGUCUGAGAGGAUGACCAGCCACACUGGAACUGAGACACGGUCCAGACUCCUACGGGAGGCAGCAGUGGGGAAUAUUGCACAAUGGGCGCAAGCCUGAUGCAGCCAUGCCGCGUGUAUGAAGAAGGCCUUCGGGUUGUAAAGUACUUUCAGCGGGGAGGAAGGUGUUGYGGUUAAUAAC